This 240-nucleotide long non-coding RNA is filed under the name Prunus dulcis (almond). Its description in RNAcentral is "sRNA ncRNA". The record is from RNAcentral. Lineage: Eukaryota; Viridiplantae; Streptophyta; Magnoliopsida; Rosales; Rosaceae.
AUGUUCAUACAUGGGAGGUGCUGUGAGAAGAAUCCGACUGCAAAGCUGUAUCACAAGACAAGGUGAGAGAAUCAGCCUAAAACAUGAAGAGAAACCUUUAUGGCCUUCUCACUGUAAAUAAAAACUCUUUUAUUGAAGCUUUGAGGAGGCUAUUUGCUAUUUUACUCAAAUUAACGUGAUUUCUGUAACUCUGUUUACAGGUUAGAGAAGCUGCAGGGUAUUGCAUAGCUCUCCAUCUGA